ACUGUUCCCCACCCCUACCCAGCUGUGUGAGGACCCCUGCCACGUUCUAGCACAGCCCCUCUAUGGGAGCUGCGGGGCUGGCCUCACUCACUCUUCCUUGCUUCCCUGCAGCAGAGGGGACGUGGCUGGUGGCUGGAGAAGCUGGAUUUGCCCUUUGAUGGUGGCCCUCUUGAUCCCCGGCUUGCUGAAGUCAAAGGAGAGGCUGUCGAUGCUGAGGCACGAGAGAAUUUGCUCCUGCUCCUCCAGAGAAAAUGGCUGGGACAGGCUGUUGAGGAAUAAUUCUGCAGGGAAAAGUGGAAGAUGGCUGUGAAAGACUGGGAGGAGGCUGGCUGUGUUUUCAGGGGUUCUUCCUGCACAGUCGGUAGAAGCUGAGCUGCUGGGGAAGGGGCUGGAAGAAAGCCCACACCGCAGGUAAAGAGAAACACCGGCCUCCGCGGGUGGCCCAGGGCCAGUGCUCAGGGCCCCACUGCAGCCACGGCUGCCCGUACCUAUUUCCAGCUGCUGCAGUUCCUGCUCCGGGACGGUUGCUUUCCGCUCUGGUGAGCUGGGGUUUCUGGCAGGGGCUGGCUCCAG
Molecule: long non-coding RNA, 573 nt
Organism: Homo sapiens (human)
Lineage: Eukaryota; Metazoa; Chordata; Mammalia; Primates; Hominidae
Gene: MAP3K14-AS1
Product: MAP3K14 antisense RNA 1
Source: Ensembl